Molecule: ribosomal RNA, 2876 nt
Filed under: oral metagenome
Description: bacterial LSU rRNA
Rfam family: Bacterial large subunit ribosomal RNA
Source: RNAcentral
AAGCAAAUGAACGGAUGCCUAGGGUAGAAAAGCAGAGGAAGGACGUAAUUGACUGCGAAAAGCUUCGGUAAGGUGUCAAUAACCGUUACAGCUGGAGAUUUCCGAAUGGGGCAACCUAUUCCGUAUAUCGGAAUGUAAAUCUGUAAGCGUGGGAAGUGAAAUAUCUCAGUACCACGAGGAAAAGAAAUCGUAAGAGAUUCUCUUAGUAGUGACGAACGAACGGGGAACAGCCUAAACCACUACAGUGUAAGAUGAUAGUCGUUGCUGUAGAUUGGGGUUGUGGGAGUGUUUAGAAAGUUCUAUCAGGCUUUCAUAGAGUUUGACAAAAAAUCAUAAUAGAAGAAUUGCAUGAGAAGGCAAACUAUAAAGGGUUAUAGUCCCGUAUUUUAAAUUAUGAUUUCUCUAAAAUAUUUCCCGAGUAGCGUCAAACACGUGAAAUUUGGCGUGAAUCCUCCCGGACCACCGGGAAAGGCUAAAUACUUUUCUACACCGAUAGUGAAAUAGUACCGUGAGGGAAAGGUGAAAAGAACCCCUGGUAGGGGAGUGAAAUAGAUUCUGAAAUUCUUUGCUUACAAGGGAGUGGGAGCUACGGUGACCGCGUACCUAUUGACGAAUGGGCUAGCGAGUUAUUGAUAAUAGCAAGGUUAAGACAUUCAUAGUUGGAGCCGGAGCGAAAGCGAGUCUUAAUAGGGCGAAUAGUUAUUGUUAAUAGACCCGAAACACCAUGAGCUACGCAUGAGCAGGGUGAUGUGCUGAGAAAUUGGUACGGAGGCCCGAACCAGUAGGAGCUGCAAGUCCUUUGGAUGACUUGUGUGUAGUAGUGAAAAGCUUAUCGGAUGGUGUGAUAGCUGGUUCUCCUCGAAAUGUAUUUAGGUACAGCCUGUGAUGAUGAUCUCAUAGAGGUAGAGCUCUUGUAAGGCUAGGGGUAUCGAGAGAUAUUACCAAACCUUGCUAAACUUCGAAUGCUAUGAGGAAAAUCAUGGAGUGAGACUGCGGGGGCAAGCUUCGUAGUCGAAAGGAUAACAGUCCAGAUUUCUAACUAAGGUCCCUAAGUCGUGACUAAGUGGAAAAAGAGGUGUUUUUGCUAUGACAUUUAGGAGGUUUGCUUAGAAGCAGCAAUCCUUUAAAGAAAGCGUAACAGCUCACUAAACGAGCGAAGAUGCGCUGAAGAUGUAACGGGGCUAAGUCACGCACCGAAGUUGAAAGUCUAUAAUUUUUUUUAUAGGCGGUAGAGGAGUGUUCUUUAUUGGGUGAAGGUUUGGUGUAAACUUAAAUUGGACGAUAAAGAAGUAAAAAUGCUAGCAUGAGUAACGACUGUUGAUGAAAAUUCAACAUACCUAAAGCAUAAGGUUUCCUACGCAACGUUCAUCGUCGUAGGGUUAGUCGGGACCUAAGGCUAUUACCGAAAGGUUAUGUCGAUGGAAAGCUGGUUUAUAUUCCAGCACCUAUAUAUUCAAUGAUGUGGUGACGCAUUGGGAUUUGUAAGGGCUUACUAAGGAUGUGAGUUGAGAUUACUAUACGAUUUUGGUUCGCCAAAAGGUUUUGUAUAGGAAAAUCCGUACAAAAUAUAAGUGGAGUUUGAUCUGAAUAAUAUUUUAGGAUAUUAAAUCUUAUAGUUUUGAUGCCGAGAAAAACCACUAAGUGUUAAUGUUUAUAUAGCCCGUACCGAGAUCAGACACAUGUAUGCAGGUGGAGAACACCAAGGUACUCGAGAUAACUAAUGAAUAAGGAACUUGGCAAAUUAGCGGACGUAACUACGGGAUAAGUCCUCCCUUAUAGCAAUAUAAGGGUGCAACUAAAGAAGUGGGGGGAACUGUUUAUCAAAAACACAGCUCUCUGCUAACAUGUAAAUGGAUGUAUAGAGGGUGUUGCCUGUCCAAUGCCAGAAUGUUACGCUCUCUUGUGCAAGCUCGAGAGUUAAGCACUGGUCAAUGACGGCCGUAACUAUGACGGUCCUAAGGUAGCGAAAUUCCUUGUCGGGUAAGUUCCGACCCGCACGAAUGGUACAAUCAUCCCCACACUGUCUUAUUCUUAGACUCGGUGAAAUUACAAUUCCGGUAAAAAUGCCGGAUGGUCGCAGUUAGACGGAAAGACCCCGUGAAGCUUUACUAUAGAUUGAUAUUGUGAUGUAGCAUAUAUUGUUCAGGAUAUGUGGGAGACUUUGAUAUUUCAACGCUAGUUGGGAUGGAGUCAUCCUUGAGAUACCACACUAUUUAUGUCGCAUUACUAACCCCACGAUGUGGGGAACAGUGUCAGUUGGGUAGUUUACCUGGGGCGGGUGCCUCCUAAAAAGUAACGGAGGCGCGCAAAGGUUUGCUUGUUACGGAUGGAAACCGUGAUGAAUGUGUAUUUGCAUAAGCAAGCUUAACUGUGAGACAUACAAGUCAAGCAGAUACGAAAGUAGGCAAAAGUGAUCCGGAUCUUCCGUGUGGAAGGGGACAGGCUAAUGGGAUCUAAGCGUUCAUAGCGACGAUCCCGUUUGGCACCUCGAUGUCGGCUCGUCGCAUCCUGGGGCUGUAGAAGGUCCCAAGGGUUGGGCUGUUCGCCCAUUAAAGCGGGACGCGAGCUGGGUUCAGAACGUCGUGAGACAGUUUGGCCCCUAUCUACUGUGACCGUAGACAAUUUGAGAGAUGCUGUCCCUAGUACGAGAGGACCGGGAUGGACUAGCCUCUGGUGAAGCAGUUGUUGGACCUCCAGCAGACCGCUGCGUAGCUACGCUGGGUACAGAUAACCACUGAAAGCAUAUAAGUGGGAAGCUUGUCUCAAGAUUAGAUUGUCCUUCCUAUAUGGAUUAAGACCACCUAGAGACUAUAGGUUAUAUAGGUAUCAUGUGUAAGCUUCGUGAGGAGUGAUUAUUAUACUUUUUUAAUUUUUGU